This 313-nucleotide long non-coding RNA is filed under the name Manihot esculenta (cassava). RNAcentral describes it as "long non-coding RNA (MESC_LNC009081)". The record is from RNAcentral. Lineage: Eukaryota; Viridiplantae; Streptophyta; Magnoliopsida; Malpighiales; Euphorbiaceae.
UCCCACCGGCUGAGCUAGGUCUGGGAGGUUGAGUAACUGGGGCUGCUGGUUCUGUAGGUGGUGGAGGUGGGGGUGCAGCAUUCCCCGAGGUGGGGUUUGCCGGGUUUGGAUAGAAGGGUGAGGGUGGAUAAGCUGGGUAUUGUGUGUAAGGUGGAUAGAAAGGUGGAUAAGGCAUGUAGGUAGGGUAGGGGUUAAAGCUGGAAUAAUCCGAUGUGCCUCCCAUCGGAUACCCUGAACCCUGUGGGAAGGGUGGAUAAUGGGGUGGAAAACCAUACCCCGAGGCCUGAACGCCUCCCUGAGACUCCCCUGUCCC